RNAcentral lists this ribosomal RNA (595 nucleotides) under uncultured bacterium. RNAcentral describes it as "bacterial SSU rRNA". It matches the Rfam family "Bacterial small subunit ribosomal RNA", at positions 60 to 636 of the family's 1533-position model. The record is from RNAcentral.
AGUCGAACGCGAAAGGGGCUUCGGCCCUGAGUAGAGUGGCGAACGGGUGAGUAACACGUGGGUGACCUACCUUCGAGUGGGGGAUAACGUCCCGAAAGGGACGCUAAUACCGCAUGACAUCCUGCCUUUGAAGAGGCGGAGAUCAAAGCUGGGGAUCGCAAGACCUGGCGCUUGGAGAGGGGCCCGCGUCCGAUUAGCUAGUUGGUGAGGUAACGGCUCACCAAGGCGACGAUUGGUAGCCGGCCUGAGAGGGCGGACGGCCACACUGGGACUGAGACACGGCCCAGACUCCUACGGGAGGCAGCAGUGGGGAAUUGUUCGCAAUGGGCGCAAGCCUGACGACGCAACGCCGCGUGGAGGAUGAAGGUCUUCGGAUUGUAAACUCCUGUUGCCCGGGACGAAAUGCUUCGACCUAAUACGUCGCGGCUUGACGGUACCGGGUGAGGAAGCCCCGGCUAACUCUGUGCCAGCAGCCGCGGUAAUACAGAGGGGGCAAGCGUUGUUCGGAAUUACUGGGCGUAAAGGGCGCGUAGGCGGCCUGCUAAGUCGGACGUGAAAUCCCCGGGCUCAACCCGGGAACUGCGUCCGAUACUGG